GGGCUUCGGCCUGGUGGCGAGUGGCGAACGGGUGAGUAAUGCGUCGGAACGUGCCGAGUAAUGGGGGAUAACGCAUCGAAAGGUGUGCUAAUACCGCAUACGCUCUGAGGAGGAAAGCGGGGGACCUUCGGGCCUCGCGUUAUUCGAGCGGCCGACGUCUGAUUAGCUAGUUGGUGGGGUAAAGGCUCACCAAGGCGACGAUCAGUAGCGGGUCUGAGAGGAUGAUCCGCCACACUGGGACUGAGACACGGCCCAGACUCCUACGGGAGGCAGCAGUGGGGAAUUUUGGACAAUGGGCGAAAGCCUGAUCCAGCCAUGCCGCGUGAGUGAAGAAGGCCUUCGGGUUGUAAAGCUCUUUUGUCCGGGAGGAAAUCCCGCAACCUAAUACGUUGCGGGGAUGACAGUACUGGAAGAAUAAGCACCGGCUAACUACGUGCCAGCAGCCGCGGUAAUACGUAGGGUGCAAGCGUUAAUCGGAAUUACUGGGCGUAAAGCGUGUGCAGGCGGUUUGAUAAGUCAGAUGUGAAAUCCCCGGGCUUAACCUGGGAACUGCGUUUGAACUGUCAGGCUAGAGUACGUCAGAGGGGGGUGGAAUUCCACGUGUAGCAGUGAAAUGCGUAGAGAUGUGGAGGAACACCGAUGGCGAA
This 647-nucleotide ribosomal RNA is filed under the name uncultured bacterium. RNAcentral's name for it is "bacterial SSU rRNA". It matches the Rfam family "Bacterial small subunit ribosomal RNA", at positions 75 to 719 of the family's 1533-position model. The record is from RNAcentral.